CCUACGGGAGGCAGCAGUGGGGGAUAUUGCACAAUGGGGGAAACCCUGAUGCAGCGACGCAGCGUGUGGGAAGACGGUCCUCUGGAUUGUAAACCACUGUCCCCAGGGACGAAGAUGACGGUACCUGGGGAGGAAGCUCCGGCUAACUACGUGCCAGCCGCCGCGGUAAUACGUAGGGAGCAAGCGUUGUCCGGAAUUACUGGGUGUAAAGGGAGCGUAGGCGGGAUGGCAAGUUGGGGGUUAAAUCUACCGGCUAAACUGGGAGUCGCACUAAAAACUGCUAGUCUUGAGUGAAGUAGAGGCAGGCGGAAUUCCUAGUGUAGCGGUGAAAUGCGUAGAUAUUAGGAGGAACACCAGUGGCGAAGGCGGCCUGCUGGGCUUUUACUGACGCUGAGGCUCGAAAGUGUGGGGAGCAAACAGGAUUAGAUACCCUAGUAGUC
This 440-nucleotide ribosomal RNA is filed under the name uncultured bacterium. Its description in RNAcentral is "partial 16S ribosomal RNA". It matches the Rfam family "Bacterial small subunit ribosomal RNA", at positions 338 to 795 of the family's 1533-position model. The record is from RNAcentral.